RNAcentral lists this ribosomal RNA (3696 nucleotides) under Triticum aestivum (bread wheat). RNAcentral describes it as "partial small subunit ribosomal RNA". The record is from RNAcentral. Lineage: Eukaryota; Viridiplantae; Streptophyta; Magnoliopsida; Poales; Poaceae.
AUGGAGGCGACCGUGCUGAGCGUGGGCAAAUCCGUGGUGAUCGGAGCCCUUAACUGCGCCAAAUCUGCCGUCGCGGAGGAGGUGGCUUUGCAGCUCGGUGUCCAACGAGAUCAUGUGUUUAUCACAGAUGAGCUUGAGAUGAUGCAAGCUUUUCUGAUGGCAGCCCACGAGGAGGAAGAUGACAACAAGGUGAUCAAGACCUGGGUAAAGCAAGUCCGCGAUGUGGCCUACGACGUUGAGGACUGCCUCCAGGAUUUGGUGGUUCGUCUGGAGAAACUAUCAUGGUGGCGCUUACCGUUCAUGCUGCUAUACCGGCGUAGUGUGGCCAAACAGAUGAAGGAUCUUAGAGCCAAGGUGGAGGAUAUCAGCCAGAGAAAUGUGCGUUACCGUCUCAUCGUGGGCUCAGCUGCCUCAAAGAUAAAACCUACCACCGCUGCAGCUGAGCAGUCUGCCAUCAAAACAGAAGUACUACUUCACAUCUCUCAAGCUACACGAAGUGCGCUCCUGGAAAAGGAAAAGAAAAAGGUGGAUCUUGUCAAAUUGGUCAUGGAGGAUAAAAAUGACCUUAGGGUCAUCGCAGUGUGGGGAGCAAGCAGCAACGUUGGUGUCACAUCCAUCAUUAGGGCAGCCUAUGAUAACGCAUCUGUAAGAGGACAGUUUCAGUGCCGAGCCUGGGUAAGGAUGAUACAACCCUUCCAUCCAAAUGACUUUUUUGUGAGCAUGGUGAGGCAGUUUUAUGAGGGUUCAUGUGAAGAAAACGGAAAAUCAACAGAAGGUACAACAACAACAGGGCUCAAGGUUUUGGAGAAGAUGAAGGCACAGGACAAUCUGGUUCAUGAGUUUAAUCGGUAUGUGACUGACAAGAGUUAUCUGGUCGUUAUCAAUGACGUAGCUACCAUUGAAGAGUGGGACUGGAUCAAAACAUACUUCCCUAGCAAGAAAGGCAGCCGAAUUGUUGUAUCCACGCAGCACUUUGAAGUUGCUAGUCUCUGCACAGAGCAGCCUUACACGGCAACAGCGAUAGACCAGAAAUGGUCAUCCGAUAAGGACUUUUAUGUCUUCCACAAAAAGGUGGAUAGCAAGCCCGAGUCCGGCUCAAAAUCUGUCAUGGGUAGUGCUAGCUCAUCUGCAGCUGUAGGUGGUGAGGAUGAACAAGUACAGAAUCCUACUCGCGCCAGUACUGUGGCAGCUGCGUUGGAGGAAGAUCAGCUUAUCAACCGGCCAGCAGCAAAUGCUAAAGUUAUGAAAUUAGUUCAUCAAGGUCGUCGCGAGGUGAUCACCGUUUGUGGCAUGGGUGGUCUUGGGAAAACAACCCUUUUAACAAGUCUUUGGCAACAAGAACUUGGCAAAGGGUUUCAGAGGCGCGCCUGGUUAACCAUAUCGAGUUCUUUCAACAGUAAGGAGUUCCAUAGGGAUUUGCUCCAGCAAUUAGAUGAUGAUUGCCAAGAAGGGGAAGGAAAUGCUGACAUUCCAAAAAUGCCAAGUGAGUCAGUUGGCAACCAAGACAAUGAAGCGCAAAUGAUUCAAGAUCUGAUCAAGAUUUUAUGGGAGCAGAAAUGCCUCCUCGUUUUCGACGACGUGUCAUCCAUUGUGGACUGGCAGUUGAUAUUGCAGCUCUUGCCUACAUCCAGAAAUGUUGCCAAUCGGAUCAUUGUCACGACGAGAGAACUUAAUGUUGCUAAAUGUUGUUCUUUGGACGAAGAACAAAUAUACAAUCUGGAGUUGCUAGAUGACGCAGAGGCUCUUCUGCUAUUCGAAAAGAAGGUAUUCAAGGAUGCCAAGGAGAACGAAUUUUUUCAUCGCAAUUCUGACAUUGCUGAGCAAGCAAAUCUUAUACUGAAGAAGUGUGGUGGCCUCCCUCUUGCAAUAUCCACUGUCGGCAGCUUCCUGGCAACCAAGCCUAAAACUGAUAUGGAGUGGAGAAUUUUGAAUAAAUAUAUUAGUGUUGAGCUAGAGAUGAACCCUGAGCUUGGGAUGAUAAAGACGGUACUUGUGUUGAGCUAUGAUGGCUUACCUUAUCAUCUCAAGUGUUGCUUCUUGUACCUGUCAAUUUUUCCCGAAGACCACAAAAUUAGAUGGACACGCUUGGUGAGACGGUGGAUUGCAGAGGGUUACUCAAGAGGGAUUCGGAACAAGAAUGCUGAGGAAACUGGGAACAGCUACGUCACUGAGCUUAUCAAUAGGAGCAUCAUUCAACCAUCAAAAGGGACAACCUAUAGAACUGGGAAGAUUGAGUUUUUGCAGGUUCAUGAUCUCAUCCGUGAAAUUGGAAUCUCAAAAUCAACAGAGGAAAAUCUUGUUUUUACUCUAGAAGAAGGUUCCAUAAACCCACCAGAAGGGAAAAUUCGCCACCUUGCUAUAAGCAGUAGCUGGAGAAGAGAUAAGAAUGCAUUUGGGAGUGUUGUGGAGUUGUCUCGUCUUAGAUCGUUAACUGUAUUUGGAGAGUGGCACCCAUGCUUUAUCUCAGACAAGAUGAGAGUGCUUCGAGUGCUAGAUUUGGAAGACACAGAAGGUAUAAGAACUGAACACCUCCAUCAAAUUGGGAAGCUUCUUCACCUAAAAUACCUUUCACUAAGAAGUUGUGAUGGGAUUUUACGGCUGCCAAAUUCACUGGGGAAAUUAAGGCACCUGGAGACCCUGGAUGUCAGAGACACAUGCAUAGCGGAGCUCCCAAAAACAAUUACCAAACUUUCCAAGUUGCGGUAUCUUCAUGUGGGCUCGAUACCAGGUCACGAGGACGAGCCAGGAAUUAUACGAAUUGGCAGGUUCAAAGGCCACCACCGGCGGACCAAGCGCUGCUACGGUUGCAAGAGCUGCACGGCGUGCCUAUUUUCUUGUUUCUGCUGCUUGUUGUUUCUCGCACAAUCUUGUAAAUGGAAGCAACGGCGACAACCACGUGGAGUGAAGUUUCCGAGGGGAAUUCAGAAACUCAAGGCCCUGCACACCAUGGGUUUUGUCAAUAUCGAUGAGUUGGAUAAUGCAACUAUUCUUGAAGAUCUCCGGUGCCUCACCGAGUUGCGCAAGUUAAGAGUGAACGGUCUUAACGAGAGAAACUCCAGCAAGUUCUUCUCAGCCAUUAGCAGUCACAAAUACCUGGUAUCCUUGCUGGUCCGUUCAGAGGGGCAGCCUGGCUUAUCUGGCUGCUUGGAGUUGGAGGGCAUGCCAACGCCUCCCAGGGAGCUGCAGAGUCUCAAGCUAUAUGGUCAUCUAGUCAAAUUGCCAGCAUGGAUUGAGGGGCUCAAACAUCUCGUGAAGUUGGAGCUACGGAGCUCUAGGUUGUCGGAACAUCGUGCCUCCAUACAAGUCCUUGGGAAGCUACCAAACCUGGCCAUCCUCCGUCUGUUAGACAAAUCGUUCAAGAGUAAAUUUGGGUUGUUGGUGUCCUGGUUCGGUGCUGGACUCGUCCAUCUCCGUUUCCAUCAAGAGGCGUUCCCGAGGCUAGUGGUGCUGGAGCUGUAUCGCAUAGAUGACCUCAUAUCCGUAAAGUUUGAACAAGGAGCAGCCACUAAGCUGGAGCUGUUGCAGUUCUGUAGUGCGCGUCAACAGGAAACCAAAGUUGGGGUGUUUGAAGGGCUACCAUCUCUCCCAAGCCUCAAGGAAGUUGUGCUCAAGGGUAACUGUGAGGAUGGUGUGAUGGACGAGUUGCGGGCCCAGCUUGCCAGGAAUCCAAACCGCCCAGUUUUGAAGAGGGUCUAG